AGGUGAUAUGAACCGUUAUAACCGGCGAUUUCCGAAUGGGGAAACCCAGUGUGUUUCGACACACUAUCAUUAACUGAAUCCAUAGGUUAAUGAGGCGAACCGGGGGAACUGAAACAUCUAAGUACCCCGAGGAAAAGAAAUCAACCGAGAUUCCCCCAGUAGCGGCGAGCGAACGGGGAGCAGCCCAGAGCCUGAAUCAGUGUGUGUGUUAGUGGAAGCGUCUGGAAAGGCGCGCGAUACAGGGUGACAGCCCCGUACACAAAAAUGCACAUACUGUGAGCUCGAUGAGUAGGGCGGGACACGUGGUAUCCUGUCUGAAUAUGGGGGGACCAUCCUCCAAGGCUAAAUACUCCUGACUGACCGAUAGUGAACCAGUACCGUGAGGGAAAGGCGAAAAGAACCCCGGCGAGGGGAGUGAAAAAGAACCUGAAACCGUGUACGUACAAGCAGUGGGAGCCUCUUAAUGGGGUGACUGCGUACCUUUUGUAUAAUGGGUCAGCGACUUAUAUUCUGUAGCAAGGUUAACCGAAUAGGGGAGCCGAAGGGAAACCGAGUCUUAACUGGGCGUUAAGUUGCAGGGUAUAGACCCGAAACCCGGUGAUCUAGCCAUGGGCAGGUUGAAGGUUGGGUAACACUAACUGGAGGACCGAACCGACUAAUGUUGAAAAAUUAGCGGAUGACUUGUGGCUGGGGGUGAAAGGCCAAUCAAACCGGGAGAUAGCUGGUUCUCCCCGAAAGCUAUUUAGGUAGCGCCUCGUGAAUUCAUCUCCGGGGGUAGAGCACUGUUUCGGCAAGGGGGUCAUCCCGACUUACCAACCCGAUGCAAACUGCGAAUACCGGAGAAUGUUAUCACGGGAGACACACGGCGGGUGCUAACGUCCGUCGUGAAGAGGGAAACAACCCAGACCGCCAGCUAAGGUCCCAAAGUCAUGGUUAAGUGGGAAACGAUGUGGGAAGGCCCAGACAGCCAGGAUGUUGGCUUAGAAGCAGCCAUCAUUUAAAGAAAGCGUAAUAGCUCACUGGUCGAGUCGGCCUGCGCGGAAGAUGUAACGGGGCUAAACCAUGCACCGAAGCUGCGGCAGCGAC
RNAcentral lists this ribosomal RNA (1086 nucleotides) under Escherichia coli. RNAcentral's name for it is "partial 23S ribosomal RNA". It matches the Rfam family "Bacterial large subunit ribosomal RNA", at positions 84 to 1212 of the family's 2925-position model. The record is from RNAcentral. Lineage: Bacteria; Pseudomonadati; Pseudomonadota; Gammaproteobacteria; Enterobacterales; Enterobacteriaceae.